UACAGAGGUGGCAAGCGUUGUUCGGAAUUACUGGGCGUAAAGGGCGCGUAGGCGGCCUUCUAAGUCAGAUGUGAAAUCCCCCGGCUUAACCUGGGAACUGCGUCUGAUACUGGAAGGCUUGAGUGCGGGAGAGGGAUGUGGAAUUCCAGGUGCAGCGGUGAAAUGCGUAGAUAUCUGGAGGAACACCGGUGGCGAAGGCGGCAUCCUGGACCGACACUGACGCUGAGGCGCGAAAGCUAGGGUAGCAAACGGG
Molecule: ribosomal RNA, 253 nt
Filed under: uncultured bacterium
Lineage: Bacteria
Description: partial 16S ribosomal RNA
Rfam family: Bacterial small subunit ribosomal RNA
Source: RNAcentral